UUGAGUAGAAAUCACAACACACGGGAGUUUGGUUUACGUAUGUGAUUACUUGUUAGGCCAACAUUGUUUAUGAAAUGUCCUUAUAUCUAAUUCUAGAUUGGUUCUAACAUUUCCUCAAAAGUUUAAGAAUGAAAUACAUCUAGACUAAUAAGAAUAUUUUCAAAUACUUUGGAGAUCUAGACGUCAUUGUGUGUGUAGUCAUAAAAAAAAAUCUGGCAAUCAAGAGUUUUGAAUUGAAUUGGAUCUGACUAACUUACUUGGCAGUCGUAUGGAUCUCAUGAACAUUUGUUAUAAUGUUAUGUGACAUUAUGUCAAUUUUAUUGCAAAGUUAAUAUUUCAAGAAGUCCACUUGGAGCUCUUAGAUAAACCUAGCAUCUAGGCCUACUAUAAUCCAUCGCCGUAGAUCAAGUCAUAAUCAUUCAUAAAAAAUUUAAAGGGAGUAGUGUUUGACUGUACCUUGAAACCAUCAUCUACAUUGAAUAAGUUUAAAGUUUGACUAAACUUUGUUUUGAAUGCACCUGUGAUGUUUUAAAAGAUUUGUUUGUGUUACUGACUUCAUCAAAUGAAGAUUCAGAUCUGAAGGUCAAUUGUUGGUGUCAAGGUUCAGGUACUUUGGAUCAAUGUUUGACAGAAAAGCCUGAAGGAGUCGUGUGUUUAUCAUCACUCCUUAUGACUGAGGGCUUGAGAAGCUCAAAUCUUUUUCAAAAAGCCAUGAACCAACUUUUGCUGUUAUGUGCAAUGCACCUCACUAUACAAGUCAAAAGCAUGUAUCUUUCCAGACAUCCUGUUUUGUAAACAAGGCUCAAGCUAUAUUUAAAUUUCAAGUUCUUAGUUAUCAAAGGAUCAAUGCAUCAUUUGGAAGACAAAUCACAAAUUCAAGACACAAGCCAUUUCAAGAGAAAUUUAAACUUCCUAGUAUUAUCUUUUGUAUUUAAAAUGUACAAAAAUCAAAUCUUUACUAGCACUAUGAGUAAUAUUAUUCUGAUCAAUGUUUAUGUCAACUGUCACAUUCUUAAAUAUAGACAUACUUCUUAUAUAGCCACUUAUCUAUUAACAUUAUUAUUUUAAUUUUAUUAUGUCAACUUAUUACACUAUAAAUUAGAAUGUCUUGUGUACUUAAUUUGUAGACUUAUUUCUAAACUGUUUACUUUUAAAAUUAGUUUAGUCACAUCCAAGUCUGAAUUUCUUGUACACAUUUAAUGAAUACACAGGAUUUGUAUAAAAUAUUGGGCCGUUUUAAACUUCUCUGCGCAAUUCUCCAUGUAUGCAUUUUUCUAGACAUCCAAUUGUUCUAAUUGAUGUCCCCAUUUCUUUUAAUCUCAACUUUGGUCAUUAUACAAAUUAUAGCAUAUAAUUCUUUCUGCUUAAUCUCUUGUGAAAUCAGCCUCUACUUCCUUUGGCUGCAUUGCUUAUAAAAUCAUAGCCUUUAUGCUUCCCGCUGCUGAAUUGAUUGGGAAAUGAAAUUUGAUUUUGACACUAACUGGGCCAGGCAAAUUGUACAGAUUUUCUGAAGUUUGUCUGGUUAGUGCCUUAAAUAUAUUAAUAUAUAGUUGACUACAAGUUCUUUUAAAUUAAGCCUUGAAUACUAUAUAUUCAUCCAUAACAAUCUUGAAAUGACACUCAUUGCAGAUUGAUCGUAUUGUAUUUAAUUUUUCUAAUGUCACAUUCUAUCAAGUGCACAGUUCCUUCUACACAUUUUUCUACCUUAGCUACUAACUUUGUCAGUAUGCAUGAAUGUUACUUUCAAGUGCAUUUUUCUUGACAUCCAAUAGUUCUUCUUUCCCAUUUUUCUGCAGAGUGGGGAAUGUGCAUUUUUCUUGUUUUACAGUAAUUGGAUCAUGACAUCCUAUUACAGAAUUAUUUCAUAAAUUUGUCUGUCUGGCUAAUGGCCACCUUUUUUAUAUAUUCUUUGCAAGUUAAGAAAUUUCUUUCUUAAUUACUCCUCUUUAAAUUCCUGAAUGCUACAUUAAUCUUGGCAUGAAUUCUCUACAAAACAGCUUGUCAAAUGAAAUAAAUUCAAUUUCAAUAUUGCAUAGUGUCCUGAGUAUGACGUUAAACUGCUCCUCUUUGUUCGUUACUUUUGGAGCUUAAAAGUUUCUCUUUUUCUUUCCUUUCACCAGUCUGUCUCAUCUUCUCUAGUGUCUGCCUACUUAAUCAACAAUCUGUCUUCCUUUUCUUACAAAUUCUAAACCUUUUCCAUGUGGUCUGAAGAGAUGUUUAGUCUCACAUGGACAAUGUACAUAAGUGUAUAUAGUUAACAUUUUUGUUCUUUUAAAUCUACUUAUUUUGUUAGUCUUUAAAAAACAAACGUGUACGUAACUAGGUCAUAAGCUCAGUCAAAUGUUCAAAUGUGUUUUUAGCUCAGACUUAGCUAUGUCUUUUAAACUUGUUAUUGAACUAAAUUGUUUAUGCCUAUAAAACAUGCAUUGAAGUACAUUUGUACUGGUUGUGGUCUAGUUUCCCUAUAAGGUUGUAUUAUUUAAGAAGAGUUAACUUGUAUGGUGGAUGGUAGUCUCCUGUUGAUAAGUUUAUAUAAGUGGUGUGGCCGGCAACACUGCUUGUAUAAAUGAAUCCUCAGGGACUUUACUCUCCCUGUACAGUUGAUCAUUCAAAGAUAAUACAGCACAUUUGAGUGGAACUGACACAUCUCUAGAUAUUGUUAACACAAAAUGUGCAGGCUAGAGACUUCAUCUUUCAAUAUAUGAUCUAAUGUAGAAGUUAACUAAAUGUUCAAAGAUUGUCAGUGACAUUGUUGUGAAUAAUUUAAUCAAAAAGUUUUUUUCAUUUUUGGAGAUCUUUGUUCCAAGCGCUAUUUUGUUUCCAUUGUUCUUCUAUAAUAGUCAAUAGUUUUAUAUUUCUACUUUGUAUAUACAUUGUGUGCAAUUUGUUUUCAAUGAGCAUACUUUUCACAAGUUGAAACAGAUUUUCUUGUUUAUUAAUAUAUUAUUUCAUUGUAUUUCAAUGUCGCUAUUUAUGUUUUCAAUGAGCAUACUUUUCACAAGUUGAAACAGAUUUUCUUGUUUAUUAAUAUAUUAUUUCAUUGUAUUUCAAUGUUGCUAUUUAUGUUUUCAAUGAGCAUACUUUUCACAAGUUGAAACAGAUUUUCUUGUUUAUUAAUAUAUUAUUUCACUGUAUUUCAAUGUCCCUAUUUAUGUUUUCAGUGAGCAUACUUUUCACAAGUUGAAACAGAUUUUCUUGUUUAUUUGUAGAUUAUUUCAUUUUACUAUCGACUGUUAAGUCUUUGAUAUUUGAUCCUAUGUACUAGUAGCAUUUUUUGCUUUUUGUUGACAAAGAUGUGUAUUAACACACUUGAUUUCUUGCAAGCUGUACUUUGUAUGUGUAGCUUUGACUUUUAACUGUUAUUCAAACGGUGCUUAAUAGUUGGGAGUUUCUGGCCUUUAUACUACUUUGUUUUGACAGUGUGCCUUACAUUCAUUGGUCUACUUAUAGACAUACCAUUUUCAUGUUAACAAGAUUUAUGUACUAUUUUUAAAAUCUUUCAACAUAUGACACACAUUAGACUCAUUUUAUAUUGGCAUCGCACUGAAUUGAUACAACACUGGUUAGAGUAAUUAGGCUUUGAAGACAACACACACAUACAUUUACAUAGAAGCUACUCCACAAAGUAAAAGGACUCUAACAUAUAUAUUAAGAACAGCACCACACACACACACAAAUACACAUAACCACACACUGCAUCUUUCUUUGCCACACUAAACACAAAAGACUAAGACCAGGUGAUUACUUUGUCUACAUGUAACAUUUGACCAAGUGUUCAUUGAUCAGAAAAUGUUUAUAUGCUUGCUUACUUUUACUUUUAAUUGAAAGUUACGAGUCAAUUAUCUUUUGUCCAUUUAGGAAGAUUUUUUUUUUCAAAUUGUUCUCUUUUUAAAGACAUUUGUUCUCUAUUCAUUCUACUCCUAGUUAGUUUGCUCUUCUAAACAUUUUUAGUUUGCUCCUUAACAUUUUUAGUUUGCUCCUAAACAUUUUUAGUUUGCUCUUCUGAAUUUCAUUUUGCAUUCUAUAAACAAAUUUCAGUUCCCUACAAACUUCUUGUCUGACUUGUUUCAUAAAAACUUUAUUUCUUGACAUUGUCUACUAGAUCAGUUCAAUCAAUGUCUUAACAUUUUUUUUUAUAGUCAAAACUGUUUGGACUUUCUUGAAUGCUUCAUUGAAGAAAAAAAAUCUUGAAGUUUUACCAGAAUAGCAUUGGUAUUAUUUUAUGUUGCUUGCAGAAUUUGAGAACUUUGUCCUGAGUCAAGACAUUAAACUGCUCCUCUUUUCUGGCACUUUUGGAGCUCAAAAGUUCCUCUUUUUACUUUCCUCCUUUCUACAACUAGUUGAUCUUUUCCUUUGUCAUCUCACCUUAACCAAGUUUCUCAAGUUUUCUUCAGUAAUUUUUUUUUUCCGGUGUGUAGCAAUUAAAUAGCAGAUUAUUUAUAGCAUCUCAUCCCAUCUUUAUAGCAAGUCUCUGUUACUAAAGUCAAGAAAUCUUUUUUUUUUUUUUUCAGUCAUCUUAUUAUUGUUGUAGGGUUAGAGAUCCAUCGUUAGCUGGCCGUAGCGAUAGGGUUUCCACCUAGCAACUUUUUUCCAUUGAUAUUUAAGGUUCUUUAUAGGUUGUAUUUAGUCUUUUAACUCUAGAAACCAUUUCAAGUUUGCAAGCUUGUCUUCUGGUCUUCAACAUUUAAUAUUAUUUCAAUCUACUCCAACAAUCCAGCAGCUCUGCUUUGUGAUCAUGGAGCAUUGAGACAUGAAAUAAUUCAAUAUUCUUUAGUCAAUUUGUCUAGGGAGGGUGGGGCUUGAGGUUCAAGUGGUUGGUUGUAAUUGCUAGAUCUAAUAAAUCAAUGAAAGUUGGCCAAGUUAACUUUUUUUACUGCUAUAAAAUUGCAUUUUAGGUUUUUUAGCUGAAUUAACUUUUACAAAUUAUUUUAACUUGUUUUUAACUUGAUUAAUUUUUAACAUGGCCAUUUUUGUGGCCAUGAACAAUAUCUAGUCCACUAUUUUGUCUGCUUUGUGUGUGCGCAAGCCCUCUCCAGCUAACCCCACAUCCAUUGAGGAUUUUGUAUACGUUUCUGUUUUGUUGGCUCAUGUUUUUGUGUUUGAUUAAAACCCUUAUUUGGAUUUUUUAUUUUUUUUGUUAGCUGCUGGAACUUAUAUUUAUUUAGCAUUUACCUUAACUUGGAAUUCUUUUACUUGUUUUUUUUUUUUGGUAGUAUUUUCAGGAUAGGAUUUAGGAUUAGGUUUUAUGUUGCUAGUUUAGUGUUUGUGUGUUAGGGUGAGGUUUUAUGCUAUCUAGAUAUAUUUUCCCUAUGAAAGUCCCUGGCGUAGAUUGAAUGCUCGCAAACUUUGAGAGAGUUUGACACAGUGGAAUAUUUUCUUUCUAAAUGAACUGUUGACUUUUGGUUUGCCUCUCCCCCUCUCCCUUGAGAAACUAUUCUACAGCAGAGAGCACACACUAUGUCUUUGUGUAUGUAUGUGUGUGUGCUCUCUGUGUGAGCAACCUCUCUCCAGCUAACGUCCAAAUAAGGGCAUGUUUUGUUUUUGUUGUUUCAUUUUUGUCUGUUUUGUUUUAUAAGUUUGUUUUUGUCUUUUUUUUUGUCUUGUUUUUACGUCUGAAAUCCUUUCUGGGUGGUUUUAUUUUUUUUUGUUAGCUGCUGGAACUUAUAUUUAUUUGGCAUCAGCCUUCGAUCAAAAUUAUUUCGUUUCAUUAUUUGGUGUCUUAGCAGGUUAGGAAGUAGCUUAGUUUGUUUUUUGGGUUCACAGUUGUGCUGUAUGCCAUCUAGAUAUAUUUUCCUUAUGAAAGUCCCUGGCGCGGUUUGAAUACUCGAAAACUUUGAGAGGGUUUGACACUGUAAAAUAUUUUCCUCCAAAACUCUUCCAACACGUUAUUGACUCUAUUUUUGGUUCCUUCUUACCCCACCUCCCCUUUGGAAAAUAUUUUAUAAAUCAGAGCAGACAAGAUACUUCCAUUUUUUGUUUUAAAUUUUGUUUUGAUUGAUACAUUUUUUUACUUUUCUCAUUAUCCUCUUUGUCCAUUCUUCCUCAUUUAAAUGUCUACUAGAUACUUGUAGAUGUAUUGCUUGGUAUUUGGAUGUACUGUUUGGUCUACACGAAAGUCUACACCAAGCAGUAUUUCCAUACAUCUAGCAAUGCAUCUGUAAGUAUCUAGCAGACAGUUUCAUGGGGAAGAGUGGCCUAAAGCAAGAUUAUUGUGCGGAUGAGCAAUAUGGGUUUUCAUAGUAAUAACUUUCAUUUAUUUCUUUAGAUAACAUUAAGUCAAUAUCUAAAUUUUAUUUUAAAACAUUAAUUUAGGACAUGGUACAUCUAAAAACUUCUACACUCUUUAUGAAGUUUCUCUUACAAUCUGAUGUAGUCAACUACUACUACUCUAUUUAAGUGUUGAACCAGUUCACAAGCUUGCAGAUUUAGUUGAAGCUUUAACUUUUUUUUUUUUAAGUAUAUACUAAAAAGUGUUGGUGUUGACAUUGUUAGUAAAAGACUUGUCCUGAGACAAAGACGUUAAACUGCUCCUCUUUUCUGACACUUUUUGGAGCUCAAAAGUUCCUCUUUUUACUUUUCUACUUUCUACUAGUUGAUCUUUUCCUUUGUCAUCUCACCUUGAACCACGUUAGUUUCUACAUUUCUAAAUCUGUUGUAUUUGUAGGCAUUUUUUUGUGUUUUAGAAAGUAUUUCAAAUAGCUUUCAAUUAGCAGCAGAUUAUCAUUGCAUUCUAUUAUCUUGAUAAAAAUUCUGUCUUCAUGUAGGUAUAUGGCUAAAAUGAUUUGUACAUAUUAUUGGUGGAACUCUUUCCACAUUUUUCUUUGUUGGUAGCUGACUAAAUGGAUUUAUUCAAUUUUUGUUUUGUUUGGACACAGUCUUACAUUCUGUUUUCCCCUGACAUGUGACAUCCAGUCCAACAAUUCCUGGACAUAUUUUCUGUAAAUGUUCUCUACUUCUGUGUAACUGCAAUAUUUGCCAGUUUCCAUGGUGAUUUUGUUCUAUUAAUUUUUCCCCUCAAAGCGUUCUUAUGAAAUAAGUUUUCUUCAAUGUCUGUGGAGCAGGUAGAGCAGUAUUCAGUGACUUACAAUUUUAGAGUUGAAAGUCUCUCAUUGUUUCCCCCUGACAUAAUGUGAGAUCCAGUCCAACAAUUCCUGGACACAAAAGUUCUGAACAUUUUCUUACAUUCUGUAUUCCCCAGUUUUCAUAUUUUUUUAUUUUUUUUAUUCCAAUGGAGCAGAUAGUUUUAGUCACUGGCUUUAUUUACAAUUCUUUUUCCUCAAUCUACUUUAUUCUAUUCAUUAUUGGUUUGGAUACAUUCUCAUUUUGUUUUUCCCUUAGACACCUAGUUCAACAAAUUCUAGACACUCUGUGUAUUAUGACUCUACUAAAUUGUUGGAUUGACUUGUUUGGUUAUUUUCUGAUCAUUUGUUAUAGUGUGUAUGAAAGCCACAAGUUUUAAAGAGCCUGGUCUUGUCUUUUUGUGUUCUUAGCUUAACAUUACAAACCAUUCAGUGUGUUCUUAGCUUGUAUUAACAUUACAAACCAUUCAAACAUUUAAUUAUAAUCAGCAUUCAGAGACAUGAACAUGUUAAUUCGAUCACAUUAAAAUCAUUUCAGUGAAUGUUCAACUUCUCAGUUCAAAUGGGACUAAAUUAUACUUAUCUGAAAAAUUGAACAAUGUUUUUUUAUAUUAAAACUUGAACAACAAAUAUUUCCAAGUAGUGACUGUAUACAAGUGACAAUUUAUUGUUCCAAUGUUUGUGUAAAUAAACCAU
Molecule: long non-coding RNA, 7775 nt
Organism: Biomphalaria glabrata
Lineage: Eukaryota; Metazoa; Mollusca; Gastropoda; Planorbidae
Exons: 3
Source: RefSeq, a predicted model, not a curated record